This 455-nucleotide ribosomal RNA is filed under the name uncultured Gammaproteobacteria bacterium. RNAcentral's name for it is "bacterial SSU rRNA". It matches the Rfam family "Bacterial small subunit ribosomal RNA", at positions 943 to 1397 of the family's 1533-position model. The record is from RNAcentral. Lineage: Bacteria; Pseudomonadati; Pseudomonadota; Gammaproteobacteria.
GGUUUAAUUCGAUGCAACGCGACGAACCUUACCUGGUCUUGACAUCCUGAGAACUUUCUAGAAAUAGAUUGGUGCCUUCGGGAACUCAGUGACAGGUGCUGCAUGGCUGUCGUCAGCUCGUGUCGUGAGAUGUUGGGUUAAGUCCCGUAACGAGCGCAACCCCUAUCCUUAUUUGCCAGCACAUCAUGGUGGGAACUAUAAGGAGACUGCCGGUGAUAAACCGGAGGAAGGCGGGGACGACGUCAAGUCAUCAUGGCCCUUACGACCAGGGCUACACACGUGCUACAAUGGGAAGGACAAAGAGCCGCGAAGCCGCGAGGUGUAGCUAAUCUCAGAAACCUUUUCGUAGUCCGGAUUGGAGUCUGCAACUCGACUCCAUGAAGUCGGAAUCGCUAGUAAUCGUAGAUCAGAAUGCUACGGUGAAUACGUUCCCGGGUCUUGUACACACCGCCCGU